RNAcentral lists this ribosomal RNA (468 nucleotides) under uncultured bacterium. Its description in RNAcentral is "partial 16S ribosomal RNA". It matches the Rfam family "Bacterial small subunit ribosomal RNA", at positions 28 to 507 of the family's 1533-position model. The record is from RNAcentral.
GACGAACGCUGGCGGCGUGCUUAACACAUGCAAGUCGAACGGAAAGGCCCUGCUUUUGUGGGGUGCUCGAGUGGCGAACGGGUGAGUAACACGUGAGUAACCUGCCCUUGACUUUGGGAUAACUUCAGGAAACUGGGGCUAAUACCGGAUAGGAGCUCCUGCUGCAUGGUGGGGGUUGGAAAGUUUCGGCGGUUGGGGAUGGACUCGCGGCUUAUCAGCUUGUUGGUGGGGUAGUGGCUUACCAAGGCUUUGACGGGUAGCCGGCCUGAGAGGGUGACCGGCCACAUUGGGACUGAGAUACGUCCCAGACUCGUACUGGAGGCAGCAGUGUUGAAUAUUCCACAAUGGGCGGAAGCCUGAUGCAGCAACGCCGCGUGCGGGAUGACGGCCUUCGGGUUGUAAACCGCUUUCGCCUGUGACGAAGCGUGAGUGACGGUAAUGGGUAAAGAAGCACCGGCUAACUACGUG